CACACAGCAAUUGUAUAACAAAGAAACAGCAUAAUGGAUAGAAGUCUAGACUUGGAAUAAAAAAACCUUGGGUUCAAAUCCGGUCCCUAAUAUUUACUCUCCUAGGCAAGUGAAUAUUUCUGUGUGCCUCAAGCAACUCCCUUGGACUUAUCUACUGAGUAAAAUAAAUUUUGGCUCUAGGUAGAGAAAGCUUUAGUAUGGAGCUUUCCCACACUGGGGAAAUCACAGAUCCUUGUAUUUGCAUACUGGGUCAGCAAAUGCAUGAAUGAGACCUUUGCAGAACUGCCAACAUUCAUUUGUUAUAUAACAAACCCUAUAAUUCUAAAAAAGGGGAAAAGUCCAUACAGACAUACGCAUUUACAGACCAAUGUGCAGAAUGAAAACUCACUGGCUGCCUCAUCCUGCUUCUCAGAAAAAGACUUAAUAACAGAGCACUAGCUCAUAAUACUGUGCCUUUGUUAUUUUUAGUAAAUAUACAAGAGCUCAUUUGGUAGAUUCCCAGGAAAUGCUAUAAUUAGAAUUAAAAAUCCUUCUCACAGCAAAUGAGCCAAGUACACUUCAGAAUGAAGUGCGGCUCAGGUCAUGUUUUCUUUACAUAUCCCUCAGCAUUUUAUAAUGGCAAAGUGCUCAGAAAUAAGAUUAUUGGAAGACCCUCCAAACGUCCCCAUUUGAAAGAUGAAAAAACAAAGGAAGAUUUAUUUAAUGUCAGGCUAUUAAAGGGGUGUGAUCUCAAGACUCUUCAUUAUAUUGAACACUCCGGAUCAUCAAAGUCCUUCCUAAAAUGUGUCAUCCAGAACUAAAUACAAUGUGCAAUAUGUGUCCUGAUGAGAGCAGAGUGUCAGGAGAUUAUGACCUCCUCAAUAUUGAAUAUUCUCCUCUUCUUAAUAUAAGCCCAUAACAUUUUUGAAGCUCUAUCAUAUUUAGUUAGCAUAUUUAUUUUGCUUUCAGAUAACUAACCACCCUACACCUCCUGUUGUCCAGCCAUGACUCUACCAUCUUGUACUUGCAAAAUGUAGUGUUUUUUUUUUUUUAACUUAAAGGCACAUCUCACUUUGGUUCCUGUUAAAUGAUAUUAAAAAUGAGCCAAAAAAUUCAGCCAAUGUCCAUUCUGAUA
RNAcentral lists this long non-coding RNA (1114 nucleotides) under Monodelphis domestica (gray short-tailed opossum). RNAcentral describes it as "lncRNA (ENSMODG00000029884.2)". The record is from RNAcentral. Lineage: Eukaryota; Metazoa; Chordata; Mammalia; Didelphimorphia; Didelphidae.